AGAACGACUCUCGGCAACGGAUAUCUCGGCUCUCGCAUCGAUGAAGAACGUAGCGAAAUGCGAUACUUGGUGUGAAUUGCAGAAUCCCGUGAACCAUCGAGUCUUUGAACGCAAGUUGCGCCCGAAGCCAUCCGGUCGAGGGCACGUCUGCCUGGGCGUCACAC
RNAcentral lists this ribosomal RNA (164 nucleotides) under Ficus nervosa. Its description in RNAcentral is "5.8S ribosomal RNA". It matches the Rfam family "5.8S ribosomal RNA". From Rfam's summary of the family: 5.8S ribosomal RNA (5.8S rRNA) is a component of the large subunit of the eukaryotic ribosome. Lineage: Eukaryota; Viridiplantae; Streptophyta; Magnoliopsida; Rosales; Moraceae. The record is from RNAcentral. RNAcentral also lists the same sequence under 6 other names.